Molecule: ribosomal RNA, 452 nt
Filed under: uncultured bacterium
Lineage: Bacteria
Description: bacterial SSU rRNA
Rfam family: Bacterial small subunit ribosomal RNA
Source: RNAcentral
GAUGAACGCUGGCGGCGUGCUUAACACAUGCAAGUCGAACGAAGCACUUUACCUGAUUUCCUUCGGGGAUGAUUGUUCUGUGACUGAGUGGCGGACGGGUGAGUAACGCGUGGAUAACCUGCCUCACACAGGGGGAUAACAGUUGGAAACGACUGCUAAUACCGCAUAAGCGCACAGCACCGCAUGGUGCAGUGUGAAAAACUCCGGUGGUGUGAGAUGGAUCCGCGUCUGAUUAGCUUGUUGGCGGGGCAACGGCCCACCAAGGCGACGAUCAGUAGCCGGCCUGAGAGGGCGACCGGCCACAUUGGGACUGAGACACGGCCCAGACUCCUACGGGAGGCAGCAGUGGGGAAUAUUGCACAAUGGGGGAAACCCUGAUGCAGCGACGCCGCGUGAGCGAUGAAGUAUUUCGGUAUGUAAAGCUCUAUCAGCAGGGAAGAUAAUGACGGUAC